GACGAACGCUGGCGGCGUGCUUAACACAUGCAAGUCGAACGGAAAGGCCCUGCUUUUGUUGGGUGCUCGAGUGGCGAACGGGUGAGUAACACGUGAGUAACCUGCCCUUGACUUUGGGAUAACUUCAGGAAACUGGGGCUAAUACCGGAUAGGAGCUCCUGCUGCAUGUGGGGGGUUGGAAAGUUUCGGCGGUUGGGGAUGGACUCGCGGCUUAUCAGCUUGUUGGUGGGGUAGUGGCGUACCAAGGCUUUGACGGGUAGCCGGCCUGAGAGGGUGACCGGCCACAUUGGGACUGAGAUACGGCCCAGACUCCUACGGGAGGCAGCAGUGGAGAAUAUUGCACAAUGGGCGGAAGCCUGAUGCAGCAACGCCGCGUGCGGGAUGACGGCCUUCGGGUUGUAAACCGAUUUCGCAUGUGACGAAGCGUGAGUGACGGUAAUGGGUAAAGAAGCACCGGCUAACUACGUG
RNAcentral lists this ribosomal RNA (468 nucleotides) under uncultured bacterium. RNAcentral's name for it is "partial 16S ribosomal RNA". It matches the Rfam family "Bacterial small subunit ribosomal RNA", at positions 28 to 507 of the family's 1533-position model. The record is from RNAcentral.